RNAcentral lists this transfer RNA (77 nucleotides) under Armatimonadota bacterium. RNAcentral describes it as "Armatimonadetes bacterium (hot springs metagenome) tRNA-Pro". It matches the Rfam family "tRNA". Rfam says of the family: Transfer RNA (tRNA) molecules are approximately 80 nucleotides in length. Their secondary structure includes four short double-helical elements and three loops (D, anti-codon, and T loops). The record is from RNAcentral. Lineage: Bacteria; Bacillati; Armatimonadota.
CGGGGAGUGGCGCAGCUUGGUAGCGCACCUGUAUGGGGUGCAGGAGGUCGCAGGUUCAAAUCCUGUCUCCCCGACCA